This 254-nucleotide ribosomal RNA is filed under the name uncultured bacterium. Its description in RNAcentral is "partial 16S ribosomal RNA". It matches the Rfam family "Bacterial small subunit ribosomal RNA", at positions 524 to 776 of the family's 1533-position model. The record is from RNAcentral.
UACGUAGGGGGCGAGCGUUAUCCGGAUUCACUGGGCGUAAAGGGCGUGUAGGCGGUUCCGCAAGUCGGAUGUGAAAGCUCGGGGCUCAACCCCGGAAGUGCAUCCGAUACUGCGGUGACUUGAGGGCGGUAGAGGCAGAUGGAACUUGUGGUGUAGCGGUGGAAUGCGCAGAUAUCACAAGGAACGCCGGUGGCGAAGGCGAUCUGCUGGGCCGUCCCUGACGCUGAGGCGCGAAAGCGUGGGGAGCGAACCGG